RNAcentral lists this transfer RNA (77 nucleotides) under Alicycliphilus sp. RNAcentral describes it as "tRNA-Met". It matches the Rfam family "tRNA". Rfam says of the family: Transfer RNA (tRNA) molecules are approximately 80 nucleotides in length. Their secondary structure includes four short double-helical elements and three loops (D, anti-codon, and T loops). Further hydrogen bonds mediate the characteristic L-shaped molecular structure. tRNAs have two regions of fundamental functional importance: the anti-codon, which is responsible for specific mRNA codon recognition, and the 3' end, to which the tRNAs corresponding amino acid is attached (by aminoacyl-tRNA synthetases). tRNAs cope with the degeneracy of the genetic code in two manners: having more than one tRNA (with a specific anti-codon) for a particular amino acid; and 'wobble' base-pairing, i.e. permitting non-standard base-pairing at the 3rd anti-codon position. The record is from RNAcentral. Lineage: Bacteria; Pseudomonadati; Pseudomonadota; Betaproteobacteria; Burkholderiales; Comamonadaceae.
CGCGGGGUGGAGCAGCCCGGUAGCUCGUCAGGCUCAUAACCUGAAGGGCGUAGGUUCAAAUCCUACUCCCGCAACCA